UACGAAGGGGGCUAGCGUUGCUCGGAAUCACUGGGCGUAAAGGGUGCGUAGGCGGGUCUUUAAGUCAGGGGUGAAAUCCUGGAGCUCAACUCCAGAACUGCCUUUGAUACUGGAGAGCUCGAGUCCGGAAGAGGUGAGUGGAACUCCGAGUGUAGAGGUGAAAUUCGUAGAUAUCAGGAGGAAUACCGAUGGCGAAGGCAGGUCUCUGGGCUGACACUGACGCUCAUGCACGAAAGCGUGGGGAGCAAACAGG
Molecule: ribosomal RNA, 253 nt
Filed under: uncultured bacterium
Lineage: Bacteria
Description: partial 16S ribosomal RNA
Rfam family: Bacterial small subunit ribosomal RNA
Source: RNAcentral